Molecule: unclassified non-coding RNA, 334 nt
Filed under: soil metagenome
Description: partial contains 5.8S ribosomal RNA, internal transcribed spacer 2, and large subunit ribosomal RNA
Rfam family: 5.8S ribosomal RNA (bases 1-120)
Source: RNAcentral
GAUGAAGAACGCAGCGAAAUGCGAUAAGUAAUGUGAAUUGCAGAAUUCAGUGAAUCAUCGAAUCUUUGAACGCACAUUGUGCCCGCCAGUAUUCUGGCGGGCAUGCCUGUUCGAGCGUCAUUUCAACCAUCAAGCCCCAGGCUUGUGUUGGAGCCCUGCGGCUGCCGCAGCCUCCCAAAACCAGUGGCGGGCUCGCUAUCACACCGAGUGCAGUAGUUUACUCUUCGCUCAGGGCGUGUGGCGGGUGCUAGCCGUGAAACCCCCAACUUCUCAAGGUUGACCUCGGAUCAGGUAGGAAUACCCGCUGAACUUAAGCAUAUCAAUAAGCGGAGGA